RNAcentral lists this ribosomal RNA (246 nucleotides) under uncultured bacterium. Its description in RNAcentral is "partial 16S ribosomal RNA". It matches the Rfam family "Bacterial small subunit ribosomal RNA", at positions 109 to 353 of the family's 1533-position model. The record is from RNAcentral.
AGUAACACGUAUCCAACCUGCCGAUGACUCGGGGAUAGCCUUUCGAAAGAAAGAUUAAUACCCGAUGGCAUAGUUCUUCCGCAUGGUGGAACUAUUAAAGAAUUUCGGUCAUCGAGUGGGGAUGCGUUCCAUUAGGUUGUUGGCGGGGUAACGGCCCACCAAGCCUUCGAUGGAUAGGGGUUCUGAGAGGAAGGUCCCCCACAUUGGAACUGAGACACGGUCCAAACUCCUACGGGAGGCAGCAUG